CAGCAGCCACGGGAAUACGAGGGGGGCAAGCGUUGUUCGGAAUUAUUGGGCGUAAAGGGUGCGUAGGCGGCUUCUUAAGUCGGAUGUGAAAUCCCUGAGCUUAACUUAGGAAUUGCAUUCGAUACUGGGAAGCUAGAGUAUGGGAGAGGAUGGUAGAAUUCCAGGUGUAGCGGUGAAAUGCGUAGAGAUCUGGAGGAAUACCGAUGGCGAAGGCAGCCAUCUGGCCUAAUACUGACGCUGAGGUACGAAAGCAUGGGGAGCAAACAGGAUUAGAUACCCCCGUAGUCCCUGUCUCUUAUAC
Molecule: ribosomal RNA, 301 nt
Filed under: uncultured bacterium
Lineage: Bacteria
Description: partial 16S ribosomal RNA
Rfam family: Bacterial small subunit ribosomal RNA
Source: RNAcentral